GAUGAACGCUGGCGGCGUGCUUAACACAUGCAAGUCGAACGAGAAGUGAAGACGGAAACCUUCGGGCGGAAGGCUUUAUUUCGAGUGGCGGACGGGUGAGUAACGCGUGGGUAACCUGCCUCAUACAGGGGGAUAACAGUUGGAAACGACUGUUAAUACCGCAUAAGACCACAGCACCGCAUGGUGCGGGGGUAAAAACUCCGGUGGUAUGAGAUGGACCCGCGUUCGAUUAGCCAGUUGGCGGGGUAACGGCCCACCAAAGCGACGAUCGAUAGCCGAUCUGAGAGGAUGACCGGCCACAUUGGGACUGAGACACGGCCCAAACUCCUACGGGAGGCAGCAGUGGGGAAUAUUGCACAAUGGGGGAAACCCUGAUGCAGCGACGCCGCGUGAGUGAAGAAGUAUUUCGGUAUGUAAAGCUCUAUCAGCAGGGAAGAAAAUGACGGUACCUGGGUAAGAAGCCCCGGCUAACUACGUG
Molecule: ribosomal RNA, 478 nt
Filed under: uncultured bacterium
Lineage: Bacteria
Description: partial 16S ribosomal RNA
Rfam family: Bacterial small subunit ribosomal RNA
Source: RNAcentral